AUGGACUCGUCGGCGUCGCGCUGGGCCGCGCCCGCCGUGUCGGCUGCCGGCGUGCUCGCCUCGGCGGUCAUCUUCCUGCUGUGCAUGACGUUCGCCCUCGCGCUCAUCUUCCUCCACCAUCGCUACUUCAGCACCGGCGUCGCGCUCAGCGGUCGUCGUCGUCGGGCGCGUGUGCGGAGCGCCCGGACGGCGGGUCCGCCUGCCAGGGGCGUCGACCCGGAGCUGCUGCGGUCGCUGCCGGUCACGGCGAGGUUCCUGCCCGGGUGCGGCCACGGGUUCCACGCCGGGUGCGUCGACAGGUGGCUGGCGGCCCACACCACCUGCCCGCUCUGCCGGGUCACUGUCGCCGGCAGGCCCGAGGCUUCGACGUCGACGAGUCUCCCUCACGUACCGUCGGAGCCGGCCAACUACGCAGCGAGCCUGCCGCUGCCGGCGAGUGUGCUGCUCGGGGUCUCAGACCAGGCCACGCUGGGCGCGGUGACCGUGGCCACUGACGGAGUGCUGGUGAUCGACGUUCCGGAGCCAAGGAUGGUGGCAGCGACGACCCCGCGCGACGCGUCCAAGUCUCCCGGCGUGGCCGGGCUGAGGUCGGUGAAGAGGCUGUGGAGCUUCGGGAGGCAAGGGCCGUCGGGGUCCACCACGCCCUGCGCCGGCGGCAGCGCAACGGCAGACGUAGAGCGGGGCAUUGGCAUCGCCUGCGCAACCCCGUAG
This 711-nucleotide ribosomal RNA is filed under the name Triticum aestivum (bread wheat). Its description in RNAcentral is "partial small subunit ribosomal RNA". The record is from RNAcentral. Lineage: Eukaryota; Viridiplantae; Streptophyta; Magnoliopsida; Poales; Poaceae.